Molecule: ribosomal RNA, 464 nt
Filed under: uncultured bacterium
Lineage: Bacteria
Description: partial 16S ribosomal RNA
Rfam family: Bacterial small subunit ribosomal RNA
Source: RNAcentral
CUACGGGGGGCAGCAGUGGGGAAUAUUGGACAAUGGGCGAAAGCCUGAUCCAGCGACGCCGCGUGGGUGAAGAAGGCCUGCGGGUUGUAAAGCCCUUUCGGUGGGGAUGAAAAGCCCUGAUUUAAUAAAUCAGAGUAUUGACCUAACCCAAGAAAGAAGCACCGGCUAACUCUGUGCCAGCAGCCGCGGUAAUACAGAGGGUGCGAGCGUUAAUCGGAAUUACUGGGCGUAAAGCGCACGUAGGUGGCUUUGUAAGUCGAUUGUGAAAUCCCCGGGCUUAACCUGGGAACUGCAGUCGAGACUGCUUUGCUUGAGUAUGGGAGAGGGAAGUGGAAUUUCCGGUGUAGCGGUGAAAUGCGUAGAUAUCGGAAGGAACAUCAGUGGCGAAAGCGACUUCCUGGACCAAUACUGACACUCAAGUGCGAAAGCGUGGGGAGCAAACAGGAUUAGAUACCCUCGUAGUC